Non-coding RNA from Pocillopora verrucosa, 617 nucleotides. Lineage: Eukaryota; Metazoa; Cnidaria; Anthozoa; Scleractinia; Pocilloporidae. The record is from RefSeq and is a predicted model, not a curated record.
UCGAGCGCAAAUAUGUGGUGCAAACAAACUCACGGGUAAAAUGGAGUGAAUUUCAUUGUUUGGUCAUGGUACUUUUCAGCGCUAUGUUUUCAUGCUUUCUGCUCGAUUCGUUCGAACUUCAAGAAAUGUUUUGUCUCACAAAACAUGGAGCCACUUUCUCUUCGCUCGACAUCAGUCGAGGCGUACCUAAUGCUCGGGUUAUGAUGAACAUGCUUGCGAUACGAUAAUUUUUUCCUACUGCUGGAAACUGAAGAAUUGAUCUCUGAAAUUGAUAGUCAUCACAUUUUUCAAGAAGCGUCCGAGCUGUGAUCGUGUAAUUAAACGAGCUCCUGGCAAUAUGAGCUCACAAGCACGCUGUGACUGAGAAGAUAAAACAGAAGUGUUGCAGAGCUCUCUUUCCAGAAUGAAUUCAGGAUGAUCAAGCUGAAGAUAGCCUCAAAAAAGAGUGAACUCCAAUGUAACAGUUAGGUGACUAAUUUGAAAACUUGAGCACUUGGCAAAUACACCAUAGCUUGCAAUUCUGAUUAUUAAAGUUUGGUGGGGUAAUUGAAAUGUCAGUCCCCAUGCAGGAACCAUCCACAUGACCUGUACAGUCAUAUGCUAUGAGAUAACUGUAG